This 254-nucleotide ribosomal RNA is filed under the name uncultured bacterium. Its description in RNAcentral is "partial 16S ribosomal RNA". It matches the Rfam family "Bacterial small subunit ribosomal RNA", at positions 524 to 776 of the family's 1533-position model. The record is from RNAcentral.
UACAGAGGUCUCAAGCGUUGUUCGGAUUCAUUGGGCGUAAAGGGUGCGUAGGCGGCGCGGUAAGUCGGGUGUGAAAUCUCGGAGCUUAACUCCGAAACUGCAUUCGAUACUGCCGUGCUUGAGGACUGGAGAGGAGACUGGAAUUUACGGUGUAGCGGUGAAAUGCGUAGAUAUCGAGGAGGAACACCGGUGGCGAAGGCGGAUCUCUGGGCCUGUCCUGACGCUGAGGCGCGAAAGCUAGGGGAGCGAACAGG